UCCGACCUCCUGCCGGGGCGCCUCAAGGGCCCCUGCCCCACAUCAGAGGGUCUUGCGGUUUCCUGGUUUGGUUCAACAUCUCUGAAACCCAGAGGUGAAGAAGAAACCAUGGAGGAGAAUCCGAAACAGUCUUCCAGAUCAGACCUCUAAAAUAACUAAAUUCUUGUUAAUCAUUAGAUUCUCCCUUUUAUUUAAUGUGUAAGUCCAAGGGGAUUCCUUCUGCUUCCCCAUUCAAUUAGACAGCAACCUCUUCCUCUAAAGUUCUCUCAUCUGAAGCCAUCUGAGCAGGAGCACUUUGACCAACUCAAUUCUGCUCUGAUCUGGACUACUUCUCCCAGUUUAGGGAUCAGUAAAUUGCCAAACACUUCCCAAUUUAUCCCUGAAGGAAUCCCUGAAAAAUGAUGGCCUUUAUUCUCCCUCAGAGAGGGAGCUUGAGCUCUUGAGAAAGACAUGAAGGCCCUUGCCGCUGUCGGCAUCACUCCUUCCUCCCUAAUCCGGUCAGUUAAUUGCUGAGUGCUCGCUUCCUGAUCUGCGUGAUGGCCUCGGAACCGGGCUGCGUGUAGACCUGGGUGACUAUCAGCUCAGCUCCCAAGUGGAGGGCCUCGGAAGACGCUCUGUGCGGCCUACUAACAAGCACGAGUGUAGCACAGAGGUUUGACUGUGACCAAGUACAAGAAAUCUACCUUUUCUGGGCUGUUUACUCAUCUGCAAUAUGCAACACCUUGCAAGUCUGACAAGAGGCUUAAGGCAUUAAGACUACUGUGACCUGCUCCGUGCAACACAAUUAGAGGGUCAUUGAUAAUCGGAACCUAUCAAGAAGAGGACGCUGAAAGAAUACUGUAUUAUGUUGAAUGAGGAAUUGAAGGGAAGGAAGGCAUUUAGCAGACUGGAAAAAAACAGCAAGAGGACCCUAAACCUGUCUGAAUUUGCAAGGGUUUAAUAUUAAAAAGGUGACGGUACUUAUUUUAUGUGACUAUAUAUUGUAUGCCCCCACCCCCCCAAAAGCAGAAAUAAGACAAACGGGUAGAAGCUUUAGGAUGGCAGAUUCACAGCAGUUUAAUACGAGAAAGAACUUCUAACAGAACUGGUUGGAAAGGGAACAGGUUGUUUUUUUGUGUAUUAAUGGUGGAAAUCACAGGGAAUUUUCAAAAUGGAUGACCUUUGUGGUAAUGGUGGAGUUUGAAUUCAGUAAGGGUUGAAUUAGAUGACUUUCAAGAUCCUUCCAUUUCUAAAAGUUAUGAUUCUGUGACCCAGAAAGCCUAAUAGUUCUCCGACACCAGAAAGCAUGAAAGCUGGAAACCAGAUUAAAAAAAGAGCAGUCAGCCAAACAGUCAGAAGGUAGGUCAGGUGUACAGUAACAAAUUUAAGAUCUGAUUAUCUUUCAGUCUACCUAUCAUCAUUUAACUCUGGUAGACCAUGAAGUACAACACUCUCAGUGACUUACCACAUCCAUAGGUGCUCUGACUUAUUACAGAUAAAGAUAUCCAUUAUGCAUAAUUAGCUUCUUUAUCUGACUCAAAUCUGAAGCUAAAGAUUAUUCUGGACAUGAUUUCCUGGAUAGAUGGCCAGCUAAGUUGUGUUUCAGAUAGGAGGAUCACUUAAUUAACUAGGCAACACAGGUAUUUUAGUAUAUUAAUCACUUCCCUAGGUAGGCAAGUUCUAAAUCACCCUUUUCUCCUAUAUGAGGACACAUGGAGCUACUGUUUUCUGUUCCCGUGUUACUCUUUAAUCUCUGUCAGUGUUGUACUUUUGAACUUCCACUUUGUAACACUGCACUACACUAAACACUAUAUGUAGCAAGCAUUCUAUACGUUUGUAGAAGAUUUUAGUAAAUAUGUACUUUCAAAUGCUAUAUAACACAUCUGCAACUUGUUUUGCAAACUGGGGGUCUGAAGUCUUUGGACAAGUCUGCAUUCCACCACCUGCCAUAUGUGCUCCUUAACCUGGCUUCCAAUCUCAAAGCUGCAUUCACUUAUUUUAAAUCUUGAGGAGCAGGAUAGGUGUUGACAAUGUGUUACUUAGAAUGUUCCAAGUAUUCCCUAAUCUCUGGGUCAUUCCUGUCAAAACAGGAGUGUGACUACACAGUGACCAGGAUGCAAGCUGAUGAUAUUUUUGCUUCUAAUCUGAGAAAAGAAAUUGCUUUUGUGCAGACUGGUAUCUCUAGGGUGACUUUGUUCUAAAUGCUAAUAUCUUAUUCUAAAUAUCAUCAAUUGUCAAAUAUCUUUGAAAUAAAAUUCUGCAAAAAAAGUACACACUUCAGAAUUUCUGAAUAAAAAAUAUCAAACCAUCUCUUUAUGAUUUAAAUUGUAAAUAAGAGCUUUAUUGUUUGCUUUUGUUUUUAUUUUGAUGGAAAUAGGAUGUUGAGGCAAUUUCCUGGAGAUUAGACAAUGACAUUAUUUUAAACUUUUUACUAUCCAGGAAAAAACAUUCAAAUAAUAAAA
Molecule: long non-coding RNA, 2441 nt
Filed under: Homo sapiens (human)
Lineage: Eukaryota; Metazoa; Chordata; Mammalia; Primates; Hominidae
Description: HSALNT0347960
Source: RNAcentral